RNAcentral lists this ribosomal RNA (1493 nucleotides) under uncultured prokaryote. Its description in RNAcentral is "partial 16S ribosomal RNA". It matches the Rfam family "Bacterial small subunit ribosomal RNA". The record is from RNAcentral.
AACGAACGCUGGCGGCGUGGAUUAGGCAUGCAAGUCGAACGUGAAAGUGCUUAAGGAGCAAUCCGGCGGCACGAGUAAAGUGGCGAACGGGUGAGUAACGCGUGGGAAAUCUGCUCUAGAGUGGGGGAUAACAGUUCUAACGGACUGCUAAUACCGCAUGAUGCCAUGGGUCGCAUGAUUUCAUGGUUGAAGGAGGCCUCUGUUUCAAGCUUUCGCUCUAGAAUGAUCCCGCGUCCUAUUAGCUUGUUGGUGGGGUAACGGCCUACCAAGGCGACGAUGGGUAGCCGGCUUGAGAGAGUGGUCGGCCACACUGGGACUGAGAUACGGCCCAGACUCCUACGGGAGGCAGCAGUCGAGAGGCUUCGGCAAUGGGGGAAACCCUGACCGAGCGACGCCGCGUGGGUGAUGAAGGUCUUUGGAUCGUAAAACCCUGUCAGGUGGGAUGAAACGCCAUUCGGUUAAUAUCCGAGUGGUCUGACAGUACCACCAGAGGAAGCUCCGGCUAACUCCGUGCCAGCAGCCGCGGUAAUACGGGGGGAGCAAACGUUGUUCGGAUUCAUUGGGCGUAAAGAGCUCGUAGGCGGCUUCGUAAGUCGGAGGUGAAAGGUCACGGCUCAACCGUGGGAACGCCCUCGAAACUACGAAGCUUGAGUCCGAGAGAGGAAAGUGGAAUUCCUGGAGUAGCGGUGAAAUGCGUAGAUAUCAGGAGGAACACCAGUGGCGAAGGCGACUUUCUGGCUCGGUACUGACGCUGAGGAGCGAAAGCUAGGGGAGCGAACAGGAUUAGAUACCCUGGUAGUCCUAGCCGUAAACGAUUGGCACUAGGUGUGGGGGGAUCGACCCCUUCCGUGCCGCAGUUAACGCAUUAAGUGCCCCGCCUGGGGAGUACGACCGCAAGGUUGAAACUCAAAGGAAUUGACGGGGGCCCGCACAAGCGGUGGAGCAUGUGGUUUAAUUCGAUGCAACGCGAAGAACCUUACCUGGCCUUGACAUUCUUGGAAUUUUGCAGAAACGUAAAAGUGCUGCCUUCGGGAGCCAAGAGACAGGUGCUGCAUGUCUGUCGUCAUCUCGUGUCGUGAGAUGUUGGGUUAAGUCCCGCAACGAGCGCAACCCCUAUCUCUAGUUGCCAGCGGAUUCGGUCGGGAACUCUAGAGAGACUGCCGGUGAUAAACCGGAGGAAGGUGGGGAUGACGUCAAGUCAUCAUGGCCCUUACGGCCAGGGCUACACACGUGCUACAAUGGAUAAUACAGAGGGUUGCGAACCCGUAAGGAGGAGCUAAUCUCAGAAAAUUAUUCGUAGUCCGGAUUGGAGUCUGCAACUCGAUUCCAUGAAGUCGGAAUCGCUAGUAAUCGCGAAUCAGCAUGUCGCGGUGAAUACGUUCCCGGGCCUUGUCCACACCGCCCGUCACACCAUGGGAGUGGGUUGUACCGUGGUAAGCGUCCUCCUUGCGGUAGGGAGGAAAGCGCCGAAGGUGUGCUUGGUGAGAGGGACU